Molecule: ribosomal RNA, 344 nt
Filed under: Salmonella enterica subsp. enterica serovar Enteritidis
Lineage: Bacteria; Pseudomonadati; Pseudomonadota; Gammaproteobacteria; Enterobacterales; Enterobacteriaceae
Description: bacterial SSU rRNA
Rfam family: Bacterial small subunit ribosomal RNA
Source: RNAcentral
GUUUUAACUGGAGGGAAGGUGGGGAUGACGUCAAGUCAUCAUGGCCCUUACGACCAGGGCUACACACGUGCUACAAUGGCGCAUACAAAGAGAAGCGACCUCGCGAGAGCAAGCGGACCUCAUAAAGUGCGUCGUAGUCCGGAUUGGAGUCUGCAACUCGACUCCAUGAAGUCGGAAUCGCUAGUAAUCGUGGAUCAGAAUGCCACGGUGAAUACGUUCCCGGGCCUUGUACACACCGCCCGUCACACCAUGGGAGUGGGUUGCAAAAGAAGUAGGUAGCUUAACCUUCGGGAGGGCGCUUACCACUUUGUGAUUCAUGACUGGGGUGAAGUGAGAAAACCAAG